Molecule: long non-coding RNA, 281 nt
Filed under: Nicotiana benthamiana
Lineage: Eukaryota; Viridiplantae; Streptophyta; Magnoliopsida; Solanales; Solanaceae
Description: long non-coding RNA (NBEN_LNC034791)
Source: RNAcentral
CCAAAUGUCAACUAUCACCGCCUGAGACCGGUGAAGACCCCUUGAAACCCAUCACCUUCACCCAAAAGAACCUCAUCUUUCAUCUGCUUCUUCUCCAUUGUAGCCUCCUAACACAACAUAAACGACAACCAUCUCUUCUUCUUCAUUUGGACAUUAGACAAAACCUUAGAUAGGCAAGAGUAGAAUCUCUAGAACCUUACCCAAAAACAACAGCAGUCGUCACCUUCAACAACAGCUGCUACCCGAGCUUGCCGCAAACUACCAUUGCUCCACCUGUGACA